Molecule: ribosomal RNA, 428 nt
Filed under: uncultured bacterium
Lineage: Bacteria
Description: partial 16S ribosomal RNA
Rfam family: Bacterial small subunit ribosomal RNA
Source: RNAcentral
GUCGAGAAUCUUCCGCAAUGCGCGAAAGCGUGACGGAGCGACACCGCGUGAUGGAUGAAGUCCUUCGGGGCGUAAACAUCUUUUAUAAAGGAGGAAAUUUUUGACGUUACUUUAUGAAUAAGGGGCUCCCAAUCUCGUGCCAGCCGGAGCGGUAAUACGAGAGCCUUAAGCGUUAUCCGGAAUCAUUGGGCGUAAAGGGUGCGUAGGUGGUUUGAUUAGUCUCCCGUUAAAACUUCGAGCUUAACUCGAAAAGAGCGGGGGAAACGGUCAAACUAGAGUAUGUGAGAGGUGUGUGGAACUCAUGGUGUAGGGGUGUAAUCCGUUGAUAUCAUGGGGAACACCAAAAGCGAAGGCAGCACACUGGCACAUCUCUGACACUGAGGCACGAAACCUAAGGUAGCGAAUGGGAUUAGAAACCCUGGUAGUCC